GAAACGAGCAUAUGGGUCGGAGAUGGAAGAGAGAUAGGAUUGGAAAUCAGGGACCCGAGUUUCGGAUCCGGGUUUGGGUAGAGUUGAUAGAGGUAGGAAGUCAGGUGUGGGUAUAGAUGAUGAAGUGGACCACCACCAGAACCCAUCGGAUUUUCCGGCAUGUGGGUUGUUGAGAAUGGAGGCUAAGCUUUGGCUAUGAGGGCUGCUGCUACUGGCAUCGGAAAUUGAU
RNAcentral lists this unclassified non-coding RNA (229 nucleotides) under Hevea brasiliensis (rubber tree). Lineage: Eukaryota; Viridiplantae; Streptophyta; Magnoliopsida; Malpighiales; Euphorbiaceae. The record is from RNAcentral.